Non-coding RNA from Schistosoma margrebowiei, 45 nucleotides. NCBI's taxonomy places the organism in Eukaryota, Metazoa, Platyhelminthes, Trematoda, Strigeidida, Schistosomatidae. The record is from Rfam.
AUUCGGCUGACAAGUCCCAAAUAGGACGAAAGGCGCUUACUGGAU